Molecule: ribosomal RNA, 254 nt
Filed under: uncultured bacterium
Lineage: Bacteria
Description: partial 16S ribosomal RNA
Rfam family: Bacterial small subunit ribosomal RNA
Source: RNAcentral
GACGGAGGGUGCUAGCGUUGUUCGGAAUCACUGGGCGUAAAGGGCGCGUAGGCGGCCUUGCAAGUCGGUUGGUGAAAGCCCGGGGCUCAACCCCGGAGGUGCGGCCGAGACUGCAGGGCUGGAGGCCGGAAGAGGAGGGUGGAAUACCCAGUGUAGAGGUGAAAUUCGUAGAUAUUGGGAAGAACACCGAUGGCGAAGGCAGCCAUCUGGACCGACACUGACGCUGAGGCGCGAAAGCGUGGGGAGCAAACAGG